Molecule: ribosomal RNA, 468 nt
Filed under: uncultured bacterium
Lineage: Bacteria
Description: partial 16S ribosomal RNA
Rfam family: Bacterial small subunit ribosomal RNA
Source: RNAcentral
GACGAACGCUGGCGGCGUGCUUAACACAUGCAAGUCGAACGGAAAGGCCCUGCUUUUGUGGGGUGCUCGAGUGGCGAACGGGUGAGUAACACGUGAGUAACAUGCCCUUGACUUUGGGAUAACUUCAGGAAACUGGGGCUAAUACCGGAUAGGAGCUCCUGCUGCAUGGGGGGGGUUGGAAAGUUUCGGCGGUUGGGGAUGGACUCGCGGCUUAUCAGCUUGUUGGUGGGGUAGUGGCUUACCAAGGCUUUGACGGGUAGCCGGCCUGAGAGGGUGACCGGCCACAUUGGGCCUGCGAUACGGCCCAGACUCCUACGGGAGGCAGCAGUGGGGAAUAUUGCACAAUGGGCCGACGCCUGAUGCAGCAACGCCGCGUGCGGGAUGACGGCCUUCGGGUUGUAAACCGCUUUCGCCUGUGACGAAGCGUGAGUGACGGUAAUUGGUCAAGAAGCACCGGCUAACUACGUG